RNAcentral lists this transfer RNA (72 nucleotides) under Trichochrysea japana. RNAcentral's name for it is "tRNA-Gln". Lineage: Eukaryota; Metazoa; Arthropoda; Insecta; Coleoptera; Chrysomelidae. The record is from RNAcentral.
UACAUUUUAGUAUUAUAUGUACAAAAGUUUUUGAAACUUUAAGAAUUAGAAGAAUUUAUCUAUUAAAUGUAA